Gadus chalcogrammus (walleye pollock) is the source of this 1994-nucleotide long non-coding RNA. RefSeq lists it as uncharacterized. The transcript is spliced from 6 exons. The record is from RefSeq and is a predicted model, not a curated record. Lineage: Eukaryota; Metazoa; Chordata; Actinopteri; Gadiformes; Gadidae.
ACUUGCAGUAGGAGGAGGCGUGUCUUGUACUUAUCUAAAUCGCGGUCCACGUGAGCUCUUCCUUGAAGUCGAAGUCUGAUCAUGUCGAGAUCUUGCACAAAGGAUAAAUCCUGGAGAAUGGACAGAGAAAACUGGGUACCAUUUUGAGUUGACCUUGUAUGUUGCACUUGAUGCUCCCUUCGACUACACCAUACCAUGGCAAGCUUUUUGCACACUCGACCAAUGAAUCCAUGGAUCUCCUAAAAGGUCAUCGGCAGCCUGUGAUGCGUCUGAGGAAGCACAAGUUAGAGGAGAAGGAUGCCAUGAGCGUGGAAGAGCAAGACCCCAAGGCUUUGAGAAUGGACGAAUAAGAGGCGCUGUCACACUAAAUUUGUACCGGCUGCCAAAUUUGUACCGGGCGCGUCACCCAUACGUAAUCCACUCCAAAUCUGCCUGGCAACAGAUGAUCGCUUCGUCCGUUGCCUGGCAACGGACGAUCGCGUCGAAUGACGUGACCAUUCGCGAACCUUCUAUCUAGCGAUCCGUUAUCUGUAUUGUGCUAUUUCGUCCUUGAUCUGCUUUAAACACUCAGUUUACUUGCUACAUUUUAUUAAACAAUUAAAUACAAUACAAAUAUAAAGUAAAAACAAGUGUUAUCUGUAAUGAUAUCAACAUCAGUUAUUAGACCGUCACACGGAGCAUGCGCAGUUGGAUUGGCGCGCUGCAUGUUGAUGUCUGUUCCAAGAUACAUCGUGUGUUUAUUAAUGAACCCAACAAAACAUUACAUUAUCUAGCGAUCCGUUAACUGUAUUAUGUUAUUUCGUCUUUGGCAACAUGAGCGCGAAUGUUUUUUGAAACCUGCCCGGCAACGGACGACGCGAUCAUCUGCUGACAGGCAGGUUUGGAAUGGAUUACGUAUGGAUGACGCGCCCGGUACAAAUUUGGCAGCCGGUACAAAUUUAGUGUGACAGCGCCAACGAAAUGUAUUCAAUUCAAUUAUUUGAAUUAUUAUUCUGUCUUUUUUUUACCGAUGCAUAUGCAUUUCUUAAAUGCAUAUUCUUAAAUGCAUAUGCAUUUCUUAAAUGCACAUUCACGUAAGCCAGUAAGGCUAUGAUUAAGCUAAUCAAGAGCAUAUUUUUAAAUGAGCGGGUCGGUGCAUUAUUUUUAUAUAUAGGCCUAAUAUUUGAGGUCCGAGUUGCGGUCAUUUAUGUACCCGCGCACAACUGCUACAUACAGAUCACUUCCGCGAUUUAUAAAAAUACUAGACACGCCUCCUACUUCUGCGAUUUGGAAAAGUACAAGACACGCCUCCUACUACAAGACUAUCGUAAUGGGUCGGCCAUAAUUGUAGUCUAUAUACACACACCACCAGAUGGCAUUGUUUACCCAAUUUUGCAUUGGAAUUUUAGUUCCCGAUAGUGUCAUGCAGAAGUUAAGUUUAGAAGAUAAUUCACCAUGGAAAUUAGUGGUUGAGGUGUAAGGAUACAAAUUGUUAGUGUUACCAUCGAGGUUGAGGACGACAUGUUGAUACCAUGCUAUAGACUGCUUGGGUUUGGUUGGUUCAGUUAAAUCAAGGUGUAUACAAUAAUCCUUUUCAUAGAGAAUAGGCCUACUUGUUCGAAAAUACAAUUGUAUCUACUUGUUGAGCUCAUCAUCUCAUCCAGUUUCAAAUGUGUUUUUAUGGAUGUAGUGUUCGCUGACACCACUGGGAGGAUCUAACAAGUACCAUAUAGCAGAACCUACAUUGCCCUUCCCCAUUUUAAGAUGUAGAUGUGUUGGUAUGACCUCUAGUGACAACAACAAACAACAUCUGUGGGUGGAAAAGGCUAAUGAUAAUAUAAAUAUUUUGAUAUAAGCUAAUAUUGUUUGUUUACAAUUAGUUCAUAUCCAAAAGAUUGUGCUCUUUCAAUACUUCAUUAAGAACCCCCUUUACGUGACUUUUCUUUCUUUCUUUCAUGUUUAUUUCGAAUAUGUAGACAAAAGAAAAAACAAACAAAUUUUGCAAAAAAACAACA